AGCAAACCUAUCUCCAAUAUUGGUCUUUUUUGUGGUGGGGCAUUUCUUCAUAAAUCCACACUGAGGACUGUGUAUAGAAACGCUGCUCUGUUGCUAGCUAAGGCAGACUUUGCACCCUGACUGGUCAGCUGGAACUUAAGGAAGACAAGAAGGACUGAAGUGAUUUCCUCUCCAUAACGGUGUUAAUAACAUAGAUGACCUGCACUGAGAAGAGGGGCCCUUUGAUGAAAAGAAAUAAUUCUGGUGCGUGAAGAUUUUAUUCCAGAAAAGCCAAACAGAACCACCUAAUAUGGCCCUUACCUUGCUGCCAAAGGAAGGGGCGCCCAUUGGGGCUCCUCAGGUGGGGCCAAUUGGCAGGAAGUUCUGAAGGAAAAGUGUUUAAUUUAGUGUUGCCAUUGGGAGUUAUGGAACUAGGAGGAUAAGGGAAGGACAAUGCAUCCUGAGAUUUCCUCAAAUUGGAGAAGUGGGUGUUUGUAUUUAUAUUUAUAAGAGGCUGAGCUGAACUGUCCAACCUAGAAAGUGCGACUCAAUACACAGCAGUUCAACAGGUGACCAGGACCUGGGCUCUCCGCACGAAUAACUGAGCUUUAAGAAAGAGACUUCAAUCAGGAUUCAGGAAAGAUUUUCCUGCUUUUGCAGUUUAUUGCAGUGAAAUCUGUCCAAUCUAUUGACAAAGCUCCAAAACACACAUGGGUUGGUGCCCUGGUAUGCUUGCAGUGAAGCAUUUGCCAAAAGCUAUUGAAAUUCUCAAUGUGCUUCAAGCAUUGGCAUUCUGUGCAGAAAAUGGUGCCACCUAUCAGUAAGGAGGAGGAAACUGAACAGCAAAAUGAUUUGUUUGAACUGAAGAAACUGUUAUUUUCAUUGCAAGGGUGAUGGUUUUCUACUAAUGAGCAAUUAGUGAGAUGUUUGGCUUGUUCAGAAUGGUCUUGGAAAAUGAGGUUCUGACCUGGCUGGCCACUUCCAGGCUGCAUGAGGGGGACCUGGCCAGGCAAACACUGCAUGUUCUCCUCUUGCAGACCAUAAGGGUAGAGUUCUGAGGAAAGUCUGCUGCCAGGGUGCAAAAUGCAAGUCAGCCAGGUCAGCUGAGGUGCAAAGCACCAGAGGUUAGUAGUUAGUUUUAUUUGUGUAAGUCUGAAUCUAAAGAGAUUUUGAUUGAAAAAAAAAUAUGUAUGUUCUUAUAUGGCGUAGGUCAUUCUGAGUCACUCUCCAGAGCAAAAUGUAGGCUUGUAAGUGAUUCAUUUCUCCAUCCCUGUAAGCAUUCAGCUUUUACAGGUUCUUACCUGUAUCUAAGUCCACUGGAGAAAGUUUGUCUUGACGAAGUCUGUAUGCACUGAGAUUUCUCUUAUGGAAAGAAGCAUACAAGGGCUGAAUUCUCCACAAGCCUUAUUCUGUACUGUAUGUACCAUUAAUUAAGAGACCUUUC
Molecule: long non-coding RNA, 1423 nt
Filed under: Gallus gallus (chicken)
Lineage: Eukaryota; Metazoa; Chordata; Aves; Galliformes; Phasianidae
Description: lncRNA (ENSGALG00010026751.1)
Source: RNAcentral